CUUGCGAAAUGAGGUUAAUAAAGUCAAAGAAAGAAAACUACAAAAUAAAUUAAAAAAGCUGUAGGUUAUAAGUAGGUUGUAAGCCAGGGCCCCACGAAAAGAGAUUCGCCGUUCACACAGGGUUUUCCACUUUUCUAUAUUUCAGGUUUUUUUUAUUUAUAUAUUUUACAGGUAUUUUCCCGUUUCAGGUUUUUUCUAUUUUUUAGUCUAUUUUACAGGUUUCUUUUUUAUUUUUUCUUCUCUUUCAGCUAGCACCCGAGCCUAGAUUUUUAAAGCACUACAAUUUUUUCUUAAUCAUGAUGGAUUGAGAGUAGUGUUUUAAAAAUCAGGUAAAUCGCAAUGACUUAAUCGAUGUCAAUAUCGAAGUCGUGUGAGAAAUUGUUAUAGUAUGAGAACAAUUUCGUAAUUCGUGCUUUCAAAA
Anastrepha obliqua is the source of this 421-nucleotide long non-coding RNA. RefSeq lists it as uncharacterized. The transcript is spliced from 2 exons. NCBI's taxonomy places the organism in Eukaryota, Metazoa, Arthropoda, Insecta, Diptera, Tephritidae. The record is from RefSeq and is a predicted model, not a curated record.